UUUGGGUCCUUUCUUUCCUUCUGCGUGUGGAACCCAAAUACUUGUGGGCUUGUGUCUGUUUCUCCUCUCCAAUGUGUUCAACUGCUGGAACCGAGAGACAAAAUCUUGCUUCUUGCUCUUCUCCCACUGUGCAACAGGUUCAGUCUGAAGCUCCCACCACAAAGAUGAGACCCGUGGAUAAAUCUGCUUCAUCACAUGCAGAGAAGCUUUUCCAUUUUUGUAUCAUGGCUCAACUGAUGCUUGGAAUUCAAAUUUCCUUGCAAGAUUUAUUCACCUAAGCCACCUUUGCCUCUAAUUAACUCUUGCCUCUGGUUUAUUGUGUUGAACCAGUUGAUGAACAGGCUGAGGCAACACUGGGUUCUCAGAGAAGAUUUAACCACUCAAAAAGUCAGGUGUGGGGGGAUUUUCCAGUGUGCUGUGUAAUCUGGAAGUUGAAAGCUCCUUCAGAAAAGCCUGUGCUGCUUAACAAUAUCAGCAGUGAAUUUGGCACACACAUGCUAUUAGGCAUUUACUUGUCAUGUUUUACCAGGUUUUAAAGCUAUAUGCAGGGAUUUAAGAGGAAAAUGGCCUUCUGGAGUGCUAGGAAUUAAGUGCUUGUGUUGAAUUAGUUAAAAGCGAAGGAUCUGCUUUCCUGUUGCUCUGCAUUUGUGUGGCUCUUUAGACCAAUACUGUCUCAAAGCAAACCACCUAUAAAAUGUUACUGAAUAAAGUUACUAAUGUUUAUUUCCUUUUCAUGCUGAUAUAAAUUAUCCUUCAGUGCCAAGGGUAAUGAAGUAGCAACCCAUGAAUUAUAAACAGGAGGAGAAUGCAAACCUAUUUUUCCUGUGUGCAUUUAUUCAAGCCAUGUCACAGUUACUUCUUAGGAUCUCCUGAGAUGUGGUUGUGUCCCCAUAGUCUCUCUUAGGCAGGUUGUGUUUUUCCCAUGAUAGAGGUGGGACUUGAGAUACCAGGAGGUUAAAUGACUUACCUGACAUGACACAGUCUGGGGCAAAACUGAGAGCUGAACUGAACUUGUUUGCUGUUCAGCACCUCAAUCACAAAAUGAUCUUGUAGAAUAACUUUGCCAGGGAGCUGUGAAAAACAAAGCAGAAGGGAUUAAUACUCAUAUCCAGGAUAAGGUCUCUAUUCCUGCAUGCCCAUGGCUAAAAAGCUGGCCUGUAGGAAUAUCUCCCUGUAUCUCAUAACUAAAGCUGCUGUCACAGCUUUUGCCAAUAUUUCAACUUCAGUCUAUAUUUGAACUGUAACUUUGUUAGGGAAGCAAGAAUGUUGUACGUCAAAAUCUGACAUGGAAAUCCAAGCCAAAACACCAUAUCUCUUUAAUAGAUGUAAAUAUUUACGUUUAAGUGACCCUGUAGAACAAUGUCACUUUAAGGAAAUCAUGUUUCAAAUGCUCCCGAAUAGAGAUUAGGUGUUUCUGUCCUCCUUAUGUUGCUAUGAUUUACUAUUCAGUGCUCAUGUUAAUGAAGUAUUAACCCAUGAAGUGUGAGUAGGAUGGAAGU
Molecule: long non-coding RNA, 1499 nt
Organism: Columba livia (rock pigeon)
Lineage: Eukaryota; Metazoa; Chordata; Aves; Columbiformes; Columbidae
Exons: 3
Source: RefSeq, a predicted model, not a curated record